GAUGAACGCUGGCGGCGUGCCUAAUACAUGCAAGUCGAGCGAACAGACGAGGAGCUUGCUCCUCUGACGUUAGCGGCGGACGGGUGAGUAACACGUGGAUAACCUACCUAUAAGACUGGGAUAACUUCGGGAAACCGGAGCUAAUACCGGAUAAUAUAUUGAACCGCAUGGUUCAAUAGUGAAAGACGGUUUUGCUGUCACUUAUAGAUGGAUCCGCGCCGCAUUAGCUAGUUGGUAAGGUAACGGCUUACCAAGGCAACGAUGGGUAGCCGACCUGAGAGGGUGAUCGGCCACACUGGAACUGAGACACGGUCCAGACUCCUACGGGAGGCAGCAGUAGGGAAUCUUCCGCAAUGGGCGAAAGCUUGACGGAGCAACGCCGCGUGAGUGAUGAAGGUCUUCGGAUCGUAAAACUCUGUUAUUAGGGAAGAACAAAUGUGUAAGUAACUAUGCACGUCUUGACGGUACCUAAUCAGAAAGCCACGGCUAACUACGUG
Molecule: ribosomal RNA, 497 nt
Filed under: uncultured bacterium
Lineage: Bacteria
Description: partial 16S ribosomal RNA
Rfam family: Bacterial small subunit ribosomal RNA
Source: RNAcentral